UGAGGGAUAUUGGGGCAAUGGGGGAAAGCCCAUGACCCACGCGACGCCGCGUGAGGGAAGACGGUCUUCGGAUUGUAAACUCCUGUCUUUGGGGACGAUAAUGACGGUACCCAAGGAGGAAGCCACGGCUAACUACGUGCCAGCAGCCGCGGUAAAACGUAGGUGGCAAGCGUUGUCCGGAAUUACUGGGUGUAAAGGGAGCGCAGGCGGAGCGGCAAGUUGGAGGUGAAACCCAUGGGCUCAACCCAUGAACUGCCUUCAAAACUGUCGGUCUUGAGUGGUGUAGAGGUAAGCGGAAUUCCCGGUGUAGCGGUGGAAUGCGUAGAUAUCGGGAGGAACACCAGUGGCGAAGGCGGCUUACUGGGCACUAACUGACGCUGAGGCUCGAAAGCAUGGGUAGCAAACAGGAUUAGAUACCC
Molecule: ribosomal RNA, 419 nt
Filed under: uncultured bacterium
Lineage: Bacteria
Description: bacterial SSU rRNA
Rfam family: Bacterial small subunit ribosomal RNA
Source: RNAcentral